RNAcentral lists this ribosomal RNA (637 nucleotides) under Libystes edwardsi. RNAcentral describes it as "partial 16S ribosomal RNA". It matches the Rfam family "Archaeal large subunit ribosomal RNA", at positions 1918 to 2844 of the family's 2987-position model. The record is from RNAcentral. Lineage: Eukaryota; Metazoa; Arthropoda; Malacostraca; Decapoda; Portunidae.
GUCUAUCUGAAGAUAUUCAUAGUCUAACCUGCUCACUGACUAACAUGUUAAAUAGCCGCGGUAUUUUGACCGUGCAAAGGUAGCAUAAUCAUUAGUUUUUUAAUUGAAAACUUGUAUGAAAGGUUGAACAAGGAAAAAACUGUCUUUAAAAUUAAAAUUGAAUUUAACUUUUAAGUGAAAAGGCUUAAAUUUUUUAGAGGGACGAUAAGACCCUAUAAAGCUUUAUAAAUUAAUAGAUCUUAUAUAUUUUGUAAAGUAAAAAAAAGUUCUAAAAAUUUUAUUUGGUUGGGGCGACAAUGGUAAAAUUAAAAUAACUGCUAAAAAAUAAAACAAAUAUAAGUGGAUAAUAAAUAGUAAUUGAUCCUUUGUAGAGAUUAAAAGAUCAAGUUACUUUAGGGAUAACAGCGUUAUUUCCUUUAAGAGCCCUUAUCAAAAAGGAAGUUUGCGACCUCGAUGUUGAAUUAAAAUAUCUUUACAGUGCAGCAGCUGUAAAAGAAGGUCUGUUCGACCUUUAAUUUUUUACAUGAUUUGAGUUCAGACCGGCGAGAGCCAGGUCGGUUUCUAUCUUCUAAAGAGAAAAGAAUGCUUUAGUACGAAAGGAUUAAGCAAUCAAAAGUUUUUUAAAUAUUAUUGAAAU